Long non-coding RNA from Hyaena hyaena (striped hyena), 560 nucleotides. RefSeq lists it as uncharacterized. The transcript is spliced from 2 exons. NCBI's taxonomy places the organism in Eukaryota, Metazoa, Chordata, Mammalia, Carnivora, Hyaenidae. The record is from RefSeq and is a predicted model, not a curated record.
CCCAGAUGACAUGGGGUCACGUGAACCACUAUGAAGAUGUGGCUUUCCUCCGAGUGAGGACUCAAAAGAGGAGUGCCAGAACCAGAUUCACACUCUGAAGGAUGACUUUGCCUGUGGGUUUUUUGAUAGCACUGGGGGCAAGGGUGGAUGCAGGGAGCACAGGAGGGGAGGAAUUGUAAUAAUUCAGUCAAGAGACAAAAGUUGGCUUGGACCACAGUGGUAGCAGAGGAGGUUGUCAGAUUUGGAUAAAUACGAGAGCAAGGCCAAACCAACAGGAUUCCUUUAUGGGAUUAGAUCUUCCAGAGAUGACAACCUCUUUUUUGGUUCCUGUCCCUGGAAAUAGACCCAGGUGACUGAAGUUAUCAUGUUAACCUCGGAUUCCCUGACCUAGCCCUGAUUGAAGCCAGAUGAAUGCCUGGACUUUCCAAGCCACACUGACCAGUAACUCCCAACUCCCUCCUUCUCUUCCUUCUUUCUUUAUUAUUGAGUUUGAGUUGGUAUCUGACACUUGAAAUCCCCAAAUUCCUAAGUAAACUAGUAGGAAACUUUGAAAAUGAAAA